UUAUCGUGACACUUGUCGGCUUACCGAGACUCAACGUCGACAAUAAACAUUAGUCUCUCAUACCUCUCCUUCAGGGUGGAGAGGAAUAUUCUUUUCG
RNAcentral lists this non-coding RNA (97 nucleotides) under unclassified sequences. RNAcentral's name for it is "PhotoRC-II RNA". It matches the Rfam family "PhotoRC-II RNA". The record is from RNAcentral.